GUGAAAUUCCGUCGGAAUCUGGGAGGACCAUCUCCUAAGGCUAAAUACUCUCUAGUGACCGAUAGUGAACCAGUACCGUGAGGGAAAGGUGAAAAGUACCCCGGAAGGGGAGUGAAAGAGAACUUGAAACCGUGUGCUUACAAGUAGUCAGAGCCCGUUAAUGGGUGAUGGCGUGCCUUUUGUAGAAUGAACCGGCGAGUUACGAUCUGAUGCAAGGUUAAGCAGAAAAUGUGGAGCCGUAGCGAAAGCGAGUCUGAAUAGGGCGAAUGAGUAUUUGGUCGUAGACCCGAAACCAGGUGAUCUACCCUUGGUCAGGUUGAAGUUCAGGUAACACUGAAUGGAGGACCGAACCGACUUACGUUGAAAAGUGAGCGGAUGAACUGAGGGUAGCGGAGAAAUUCCAAUCGAACUUGGAGAUAGCUGGUUCUCUCCGAAAUAGCUUUAGGGCUAGCCUCAAGUGAUGAUUAUUGGAGGUAGAGCACUGUUUGGACGAGGGGCCCCUCUCGGGUUACCGAAUUCAGACAAACUCCGAAUGCCAAAUAAUUUAACUUGGGAGUCAGAAUGUGGGUGAUAAGGUCCAUAUUCGAAAGGGAAACAGCCCAGACCACCAGCUAAGGUCCCAAAAUAUAUGUUAAGUGGAAAAGGAUGUGGCGUUGCCCAGACAACUAGGAUGUUGGCUUAGAAGCAGCCAUCAUUUAAAGAGUGCGUAAUAGCUCACUAGUCGAGUGACACUGCGCCGAAAAUGUACCGGGGCUAAACAUAUUACCGAAGCUGUGGAUUGUCCUUUGGACAAUGGUAGGAGAGCGUUCUAAGGGCGUUGAAGCAUGAUCGCAAGGACAUGUGGAGCGCUUAGAAGUGAGAAUGCCGGUGUGAGUAGCGAAAGACGGGUGAGAAUCCCGUCCACCGAUUGACUAAGGUUUCCAGAGGAAGGCUCGUCCGCUCUGGGUUAGUCGGGUCCUAAGCUGAGGCCGACAGGCGUAGGCGAUGGAUAACAGGUUGAUAUUCCUGUACCACCAUUAUUCGUUUUAAGCGAUGGGGGGACGCAGUAGGAUAGGCGAAGCGUGCUGUUGGAGUGCACGUCCAAGCAGUGAGAUUGAGUGUUAGGCAAAUCCGGCACUCUUAAGAUUGAGCUGUGAUGGGGAGAGGAACUUGUUCCUCGAGUCGUUGAUUUCACACUGCCGAGAAAAGCCUCUAGCUAGAAUAACGGUGCCCGUACCGCAAACCGACACAGGUAGUCAAGAUGAGAAUUCUAAGGUGAGCGAGCGAACUCUCGUUAAGGAACUCGGCAAAAUGACCCCGUAACUUCGGGAGAAGGGGUGCUCUUUGAGGUUCACGCUUCGAAGAGCCGCAGUGAAUAGGCCCAAGCGACUGUUUAUCAAAAACACAGGUCUCUGCUAAACCGUAAGGUGACGUAUAGGGGCUGACGCCUGCCCGGUGCUGGAAGGUUAAGAGGAGUGGUUAGCGCAAGCGAAGCUACGAAUCGAAGCCCCAGUAAACGGCGGCCGUAACUAUAACGGUCCUAAGGUAGCGAAAUUCCUUGUCGGGUAAGUUCCGACCCGCACGAAAGGCGUAACGAUUUGGGCACUGUCUCAACGAGAGACUCGGUGAAAUCAUAGUACCGGUGAAGAUGCCGGUUACCCGCGACAGGACGGAAAGACCCCGUGGAGCUUUACUGUAGCCUGAUAUUGAAAUUCGGUACAGUUUGUACAGGAUAGGUAGGAGCCUUAGAAGCGUGAGCGCUAGCUUACGUGGAGGCAUUGGUGGGAUACUACCCUAAUUGUAUUGGAUUUCUAACCCGCAGCACUUAUCGUGCUGGGAGACAGUGUCAGGCGGGCAGUUUGACUGGGGCGGUCGCCUCCUAAAGAGUAACGGAGGCGCUCAAAGGUUCCCUCAGAAUGGUUGGAAAUCAUUCAUAGAGUGUAAAGGCAUAAGGGAGCUUGACUGCGAGACCUACAAGUCGAGCAGGGUCGAAAGACGGACUUAGUGAUCCGGUGGUUCCGCAUGGAAGGGCCAUCGCUCAACGGAUAAAAGCUACCCCGGGGAUAACAGGCUUAUCUCCCCCAAGAGUUCACAUCGACGGGGAGGUUUGGCACCUCGAUGUCGGCUCAUCGCAUCCUGGGGCUGUAGUCGGUCCCAAGGGUUGGGCUGUUCGCCCAUUAAAGCGGUACGCGAGCUGGGUUCAGAACGUCGUGAGACAGUUCGGUCCCUAUCCGUCGUGGGCGUAGGAAAUUUGAGAGGAGCUGUCCUUAGUACGAGAGGACCGGGAUGGACAUACCUCUGGUGUACCAGUUGUCGUGCCAACGGCAUAGCUGGGUAGCUAUGUAUGGACGGGAUAAGUGCUGAAAGCAUCUAAGCAUGAAGCCCCCCUCGAGAUGAGAUUUCCCAACUUCGGUUAUAAGAUCCCUCAAAGAUGAUGAGGUGAAUAGGUUCGAGGUGGAAGCGUAGCGAUACGUGGAGCUGACGAAUACUA
Molecule: ribosomal RNA, 2470 nt
Filed under: Staphylococcus pseudintermedius
Lineage: Bacteria; Bacillati; Bacillota; Bacilli; Caryophanales; Staphylococcaceae
Description: partial 23S ribosomal RNA
Rfam family: Bacterial large subunit ribosomal RNA
Source: RNAcentral